This 4117-nucleotide long non-coding RNA is filed under the name Homo sapiens (human). RNAcentral's name for it is "novel transcript". Lineage: Eukaryota; Metazoa; Chordata; Mammalia; Primates; Hominidae. The record is from RNAcentral.
CAAGAAAAAGCCAUGUUCAAGGUGCCUGAAUCCCCUGGUACACAGCAACUUCAGAAUGGCAGCCACAUGGGGCGCCAUGGUAGUCAGGGAGGCAUCGUCAUGGCCAUCAGUCCCAGUGAGGAGACCAAGCUGCAGAUGUUCAUGUGGAGCCGCAUCAUCUUCAGCCUGGGCUUUGUCAUUAGUGGCCACUACAAGGACUUUGCCAGGGAUGUGGCAGCCUCCAUAGCAUUCACCAAUGACCUGAACGGUGAGCACCCGCACAAGGCAGCGGACAUGGAGGGUCUGUACACGCUGGACACAGCAGAGGUGGAUGACCGCAGCUACUGGGUCAGGUUCCAGUCCUCAUCCCUGGCAUCCUGGAGUGGGACCAGGAGCAGAGUGUCAUCUAUGGCUCCACUGACUUUGUAAGAUGGUGGUGUGGCCCCCAUCGUGUUGCCUGGAUCUGCUGGAGCAUGAGUUAACUGCUCAAGACCCUGUGCCACUGCAUGCUCAACCAGUGCAACGAUGAGGCGGAGCUCUUCUCGGUUGAGGGCAAGGGUGUCACUGGCAAUGACAGAUACUACCUGCUGAGCCCCCUCCCCCUGACCUCAGCUUCCUGCCUGUGCCCCACAAGGAGCUGCCAGAGGAGUGCUCCCAUGCCAGCUUCCCCUGCACCCACAGGCACAGGUUCUGUCGCUUGUGCCAGGAGCUGGUGGAUGUCUUUGUGGAGCACAGUUGAGGAGCAGCCCUGUGAGGCUGAGGCUGCAGCCAGCUGCACUCUGCUGCGGGCACGGGCACCCUGGGUUGUUCUGGGGCUGGAUCGUUGAAGAGAGAAGCUCUGGACAGUGAAGAAGAGCUCGUUUUGGCCACACUCACUAGAGCCCCUUUCCCAUCCCCCACCCACCUGCCAUCAGGCUCCCAGAUGCAGAAUCUGGAGCUUUGUGUUGGUUGCAAGCCAGCAAGCAGUCAAACCAGUGACCCAGCUGAGCUGUGCUGUUCUCCUAAGGAGCAUUUGGAAGUCACUGGGUGGGUUGUGAAGGUCACAGUCCCUGAGUGUUGGUGCUGCUGGUUUUUAGUGCUUAGGAGUUGGCCAUGUUAAAUUUCCCACACCACAAGUAACUCUUUUCCAGAAGCCAGUGGCAUUCCUGUCUCUGUUGGAAGUCCUGGUCUGAAUGUGGACCCUCUCUCCCCGACCUCUAUACUCUGGCUGUCUUCUUCCUGUCUGGGGAGAUCUGGCAGCCACCACCUUGUUGCCUGGGUCUGUGAGAGCAAAGCUGAGUUCUGGUCCGGCUUGUAGCAGAAGAAGGAAUUUGACAACAUCUAUAAGGCCCAGGUGGGCUGUGGCAGGGCCGGUGGGUUGAGCUGCGCCUGUAGGCUGUGGGCAGCUAAUCCUUUCCUGCCUGUGCUCUCUCCCCUGUUUUUUGGUGAGAACCACGAGAAGGAAAGCUCCGAGAUCCUCAAGUGCCUGGCCCAGCAGGCCAUGGCCCAGCAGCACACUGUGAAUGGGAGAUACUGGUCGGCUGCAGUGCCAGCAUCCUGCCCCUCCAGCUAUAUCCCUGGGUGGAGCUGGGCCCCCACCCGGCCUGGGUAGGAUGAGCCUCACUCACAGCUCAUCCCCCCACGGCCCCUCAGUUCACAGCCCCCAGUAUGGCCAGCGUCUUGGAGCAGCUCCAGGUCAUCGGUGAUGUCCUCUUCAUUCUUCUCAGCUGAGGCCCCUCCAUGGCUCCCUACUUAGAAGUUGGCCUUUAGUUUUUUAAGAUAUGUAAUAGGCUGACAUGGCUCAAAAUUGAAAAGUGUAGCCAGUGAUGAGAACUUCCUUGUGAAUCCUUCCAGAAAUACUCCAUGUGAUCUUUAUCCCCCUCUUUUUUUUUCUUUGGAAUUGUGGCAUGCCACGUAUGAAGGUUAUUAUUGUUUACUUCAUUUAACAACGUAUCUUGGUGAUCUUCCAUUUCAGUUCCUAGGUAGUGGCUUUAUUCCUUCCUAGGCUGCCUGUGGUUCCAGUGCAAAAUGUGCCUUAGGAGCAGGCCCUGAGGACUCCCGCGGUGCUGUCACAAGCAGUGCUGCCUUUGGGAGCCCCUAACCUCCUGCUUUUUCUCUCCUCAGUGUGGGAAAGGGGUUUGGUCAGCCAGGGGUGUCAGCAGCCCUGUCCCACACCCAUUGUCUACACCUAAUCUGGUGGCAGGGAGGCCACAGAGUGCAGUGAUUGGAACUGGGUGAGAGGGUUAGAGGCAACUGGGCCCUAGGCCGAGUCAAGUGCAUGGAAUCCUGACUGUCAGCAAUUAGGGAUCUUUCUGCUUUUGGGAGGGAAGUACUUGUUCCACGCGUCUCACUGAAUAUGGCACGGAACCUGAUCUGUCCCAAGUGGGAGUUUAACCAAGCUAGCGGGGGCCCAGGGCCCUGGCCCAGUCUGACACCUACCUCCUCUCCCACCUUCUACUCACCCAGAAGACUAGGAGAAUCUGAAAGCAGAGGUGGUGCAGCGUCACUAGCUCCAGGAAUCCAGAAAAACAGGGAUAGGGCAUUCUGGGAGGUUGAAGUGGGUGGAUCACUUGAGCUCAAGAGUUGGAGAUCAGUCUAGGAAACACGAUGAAACCCCAUCUACACAAAGCAAAAAUUAGCUUGGCGUGGUGGCGCGACCUGUAGUCCCAGCUACUCAGCAGGCUGAGGUGGAGGAUCGCUUGAGCCUGAGAGGUCCAGGCUGCAGUGAGCCAUGAUUGUGCCACUGCACUCCAGCCUGGGUGAUAGAGUGAGACCCUGUCUCAAAAAAACAAAACCAAAAAAACAGAGCUAGGGCUGGGGACCCCUAUGGCCACUGAAUCUGAGCCCCUGGGGGCAGAGGAACUGAGCUCCCAGCCCUGUGGCUGCCAAGGAUCCUUUUUCCUUGAGCUUGCAGGGAUUGAGAGAGAGAGAGUCAGCGGCCCUGAUGUUAGCGAUGCAGACUCCAGGAGAAGGGGGCAUGCUCGCAGUUUAGAGGAAGUGAGCCCCUCUUCCACGUUCCACUCCCACCAUCCUCCUGGGACCCCAGCCUGCAUGCCCCCCAAAAGAUGCUUUUGCACUGAUUCAACAAAGCCUAAAGAUGCAAAGGCCUAAUUGAAGACCUGUGAAUGGCAUGUACGGUCCUCAGUUCCCAGCUGAGGGGCCACUCGGGCUCCCCAUAUUCCCCUCAGCCUCUCCAUCUUCCAACAGGGGUGUGGAGUGCAUCCAUGGCCAUGAGUAUUGAUCUGUCCCAGCCUGUGCAUUGCUCCGAGGCAGUUCUGAGUGGAUGAUGUACAGAUGGGAUUCCUCAGCUCAUUUGCGUGGUUGACGUUAUGGCUGCUGGUUUUACUGCCACAACUCCCAGGCCCAACCUGGCUUAAUGUCUAAGUUUUAAGCCAAAAAAGAUGGGGAGCAGAGCUUUGUGGCAGGGCUGGGGGUUGGGGUCCACUUUAGUUUUGUGGCAGGAUGAAGGCUGCAGUGGUUUUAUUAAUCAUGAUUGGCCUGGCCGUAGCUCCAGGCUGAGAGGGACAGGUUUGUCAGUGGUGGUCCCCCAGAUGUCCCUGUGCCCAGCCCUGGCCUGUCUGCCCUCAGGCCCAGCAGGAGGCGCUACCACAGGCUCUGACUGGCGUCCCUACUCCCUGUACCCCAGAUGGACAGAACCUUCGGGUCUACAGUCGGAAUAUAUCAUUCUCCCCAUUUUAACCUGAGCUGCCUGACACACGGAGGGUGUGCUGGGUAAGGGGCCUAGGGAGCCAGGGUUGAAUCAUGGAUCCUGGGGAAAGGUUGCAGACACAGGAAGGGUUGUCACCUCUCUGUGGAGCCCUGCUGCUUACCACACAGCACCUUCUGCAGAGACUAGCUCUGAGGGUGGCAGGGGACCCCACAGGCCAUGGCCACUCCCUCUCUGCACCUGUCCGUGCCUGCUGUGGAAGCCUGGACUGGGGGAGGAGAUUGCUACCCUGUGAGCCUGAGGGAGCCACGUCCAGCUGUGACCUCUACCUGGGGCUUUACAGAGAGUUGUUUAUGGGUAACAGACACCUUGUUUCAGAGGGAAUGGGCAUGAGCUGGCAAGUGAAGCACCCCCACAGCUUAUCAGGAACUUUUUCUCAUUUUUAAACCAUCAUGUCUUCAUUUCACAUUGGAAUAAAGUGAGGUUUUGGAA